GGAUGCGAUAAUACCAGCACUAAAGCACCGGAUCCCAUCAGAACUCCGAAGUUAAGCGUGCUUGGGCGAGAGUAGUACUAGGAUGGGUGACCUCCUUGGAAGUCCUCGUGUUGCAUUCC
This 119-nucleotide ribosomal RNA is filed under the name Triticum aestivum (bread wheat). Lineage: Eukaryota; Viridiplantae; Streptophyta; Magnoliopsida; Poales; Poaceae. RNAcentral also lists the same sequence under 1 other name. The record is from RNAcentral.